RNAcentral lists this ribosomal RNA (250 nucleotides) under uncultured bacterium. Its description in RNAcentral is "partial 16S ribosomal RNA". It matches the Rfam family "Bacterial small subunit ribosomal RNA", at positions 525 to 775 of the family's 1533-position model. The record is from RNAcentral.
ACGUAGGUGGCAAGCGUUGUCCGGAAUUAUUGGGCGUAAAGCGCGCGCAGGCGGCUUCUUAAGUCCAUCUUAAAAGUGCGGGGCUUAACCCCGUGAUGGGAUGGAAACUGGGAGGCUGGAGUAUCGGAGGGGAAAGUGGAAUUCCUAGUGUAGCGGUGAAAUGCGUAGAGAUUAGGAAGAACACCGGUGGCGAAGGCGACUUUCUGGACGACAACUGACGCUGAGGCGCGAAAGCGUGGGGAGCAAACAG